Molecule: ribosomal RNA, 1366 nt
Filed under: Escherichia coli
Lineage: Bacteria; Pseudomonadati; Pseudomonadota; Gammaproteobacteria; Enterobacterales; Enterobacteriaceae
Description: partial 23S ribosomal RNA
Rfam family: Bacterial large subunit ribosomal RNA
Source: RNAcentral
CUGUGAGCUCGAUGAGUAGGGCGGGACACGUGGUAUCCUGUCUGAAUAUGGGGGGACCAUCCUCCAAGGCUAAAUACUCCUGACUGACCGAUAGUGAACCAGUACCGUGAGGGAAAGGCGAAAAGAACCCCGGCGAGGGGAGUGAAAAAGAACCUGAAACCGUGUACGUACAAGCAGUGGGAGCCUCUUAAUGGGGUGACUGCGUACCUUUUGUAUAAUGGGUCAGCGACUUAUAUUCUGUAGCAAGGUUAACCGAAUAGGGGAGCCGAAGGGAAACCGAGUCUUAACUGGGCGUUAAGUUGCAGGGUAUAGACCCGAAACCCGGUGAUCUAGCCAUGGGCAGGUUGAAGGUUGGGUAACACUAACUGGAGGACCGAACCGACUAAUGUUGAAAAAUUAGCGGAUGACUUGUGGCUGGGGGUGAAAGGCCAAUCAAACCGGGAGAUAGCUGGUUCUCCCCGAAAGCUAUUUAGGUAGCGCCUCGUGAAUUCAUCUCCGGGGGUAGAGCACUGUUUCGGCAAGGGGGUCAUCCCGACUUACCAACCCGAUGCAAACUGCGAAUACCGGAGAAUGUUAUCACGGGAGACACACGGCGGGUGCUAACGUCCGUCGUGAAGAGGGAAACAACCCAGACCGCCAGCUAAGGUCCCAAAGUCAUGGUUAAGUGGGAAACGAUGUGGGAAGGCCCAGACAGCCAGGAUGUUGGCUUAGAAGCAGCCAUCAUUUAAAGAAAGCGUAAUAGCUCACUGGUCGAGUCGGCCUGCGCGGAAGAUGUAACGGGGCUAAACCAUGCACCGAAGCUGCGGCAGCGACACUAUGUGUUGUUGGGUAGGGGAGCGUUCUGUAAGCCUGUGAAGGUGUACUGUGAGGUAUGCUGGAGGUAUCAGAAGUGCGAAUGCUGACAUAAGUAACGAUAAAGCGGGUGAAAAGCCCGCUCGCCGGAAGACCAAGGGUUCCUGUCCAACGUUAAUCGGGGCAGGGUGAGUCGACCCCUAAGGCGAGGCCGAAAGGCGUAGUCGAUGGGAAACAGGUUAAUAUUCCUGUACUUGGUGUUACUGCGAAGGGGGGACGGAGAAGGCUAUGUUGGCCGGGCGACGGUUGUCCCGGUUUAAGCGUGUAGGCUGGUUUUCCAGGCAAAUCCGGAAAAUCAAGGCUGAGGCGUGAUGACGAGGCACUACGGUGCUGAAGCAACAAAUGCCCUGCUUCCAGGAAAAGCCUCUAAGCAUCAGGUAACAUCAAAUCGUACCCCAAACCGACACAGGUGGUCAGGUAGAGAAUACCAAGGCGCUUGAGAGAACUCGGGUGAAGGAACUAGGCAAAAUGGUGCCGUAACUUCGGGAGAAGGCACGCUGAUAUGUAGGUGAAG